GCCGAGGUGGCGGAACUGGCAGACGCGCUGGACUCAAAAUCCAGUGGCCGCAAGGCCAUGCGGGUUCGACCCCCGCCCUCGGCA
Molecule: transfer RNA, 84 nt
Filed under: Candidatus Omnitrophota bacterium
Lineage: Bacteria; Pseudomonadati; Candidatus Omnitrophota
Description: tRNA-Leu
Rfam family: tRNA
About the family: Transfer RNA (tRNA) molecules are approximately 80 nucleotides in length.
Source: RNAcentral